This 467-nucleotide ribosomal RNA is filed under the name uncultured bacterium. Its description in RNAcentral is "partial 16S ribosomal RNA". It matches the Rfam family "Bacterial small subunit ribosomal RNA", at positions 29 to 507 of the family's 1533-position model. The record is from RNAcentral.
ACGAACGCUGGCGGGGUGCUUAACCCCUGCAAGUCGAACGGAAAGGCCCUGCUUUUGUGGGGUGCUCGAGUGGCGAACGGGUGAGUAACACGUGAGUAACCUGCCCUUGACUUUGGGAUAACUUCAGGAAACUGGGGCUAAUACCGGAUAGGAGCUCCUGCUGCCUGGUGGGGGUUGGAAAGUUUCGGCGGUUGGGGAUGGACUCGCGGCUUAUCAGCUUGUUGGUGGGGUAGUGGCUUACCAAGGCUUUGACGGGUAGCCGGCCUGAGAGGGUGACCGGCCACAUUGGGACUGAGAUACGGCCCAGACUCCUACGGGAGGCAGCAGUGGGGAAUAUUGCACAAUGGGCGGAAGCCUGAUGCAGCAACGCCGCGUGCGGGAUGACGGCCUUCGGGUUGUAAACCGCUUUCGCCUGUGACGAAGCGUGAGUGACGGUAAUGGGUAAAGAAGCACCGGCUAACUACGUG